AGUUUGAUCAGUGGCUCAGGACGAACGCUGGCGGCGUGCUUAACACAUGCAAGUCGAACGGUGAACCAGAGCUUGCUCUGGGGAUCAGUGGCGAACGGGUGAGUAACACGUGGGCAACCUGCCCCAGACUCUGGGAUAACCUCGGGAAACCGAUGCUAAUACCGGAUACGACCACUUCGGACAUCCGACGGUGGUGGAAAGUUUUUCGGUCUGGGAUGGGCCCGCGGCCUAUCAGCUAGUUGGUGGGGUAAUGGCCUACCAAGGCGACGACGGGUAGCCGGCCUGAGAGGGCGACCGGCCACACUGGAACUGAGACACGGUCCAGACUCCUACGGGAGGCAGCAGUGGGGAAUAUUGCACAAUGGGCGAAAGCCUGAUGCAGCGACGCCGCGUGAGGGACGACGGCCUUCGGGUUGUAAACCUCUUUCAGCAGGGACGAAGCGAAAGUGACUGUACCUGCAGAAGAAGCACCGGCUAACUACGUG
This 485-nucleotide ribosomal RNA is filed under the name uncultured bacterium. RNAcentral's name for it is "bacterial SSU rRNA". It matches the Rfam family "Bacterial small subunit ribosomal RNA", at positions 10 to 507 of the family's 1533-position model. The record is from RNAcentral.